GCCGCGUGAGUGAUGAAGGCCUUCGGGUCGUAAAGCUCUGUCCUCAAGGAAGAUAUGACGGUACUUGAGGAGGAAGCCCCGGCUAACUACGUGCCAGCAGCCGCGG
This 106-nucleotide ribosomal RNA is filed under the name uncultured bacterium. Its description in RNAcentral is "partial 16S ribosomal RNA". It matches the Rfam family "Bacterial small subunit ribosomal RNA", at positions 396 to 520 of the family's 1533-position model. The record is from RNAcentral.